UCACUUACCUGGACGGGGUCGAUAGCCGAUCAAGAAGAGCUAUGGCCUAAAUCAAUGGCCUCCAUUGCACUUGGGAGGAGCAUUGGCUUACCAUCUUCCUAAACGGGAGAGUGGACGUCAUAAUUUGUGGAAGAGGGGGUACGCGUUCGCGCGGCCCCUGC
This 161-nucleotide small nuclear RNA is filed under the name Setaria italica (foxtail millet). RNAcentral describes it as "snRNA U1". It matches the Rfam family "U1 spliceosomal RNA". From Rfam's summary of the family: U1 is a small nuclear RNA (snRNA) component of the spliceosome (involved in pre-mRNA splicing). Lineage: Eukaryota; Viridiplantae; Streptophyta; Magnoliopsida; Poales; Poaceae. The record is from RNAcentral.